Molecule: ribosomal RNA, 105 nt
Filed under: uncultured bacterium
Lineage: Bacteria
Description: partial 16S ribosomal RNA
Source: RNAcentral
AAGGCUUUCGGGUUGUAAACCCCUUUCAGUUGGGACGAAGCUUCAGCGGUUAAUAGCCGUUCGAAGUGACGGUACCUUCACAAGAAGCACCGGCUAACUACGUGC